Molecule: ribosomal RNA, 440 nt
Filed under: uncultured bacterium
Lineage: Bacteria
Description: bacterial SSU rRNA
Rfam family: Bacterial small subunit ribosomal RNA
Source: RNAcentral
CCUACGGGAGGCAGCAGUGAGGAAUAUUGAGCAAUGGGCGGAAGCCUGACUCAGCAACGCCGCGUGGAUGAAGAAGGCCUUCGGGUUGUAAAAUCCUUUUCUGAGGGACGAUAAUGACGGUACCUCAGGAAUAAGUUCCGGCUAACUACGUGCCAGCAGCCGCGGUAAAACGUAGGGGACAAGCGUUAUCCGGAUUUACUGGGCGUAAAGCGCAUGUAGGUGGCACGGAAAGUUGGAUGUGAAAGCUCCUGGCUUAACUGGGAGAGGUCAUUCAAAACUACCGAGCUUGAGGAUGGAAGAGGAGAGCAGAAUUCCCGGUGUAGUGGUGGAAUGCGUAGAUAUCGGGAGGAAUACCAGUGGCGAAAGCGGCUCUCUGGUUCGUGCCUGACACUGAGAUGCGAAAGCGUGGGGAGCGAACGGGAUUAGAUACCCCGGUAGUC